UAGUAGCACGGUGAUGGGGUGCCACCGACUGAACCGCCGUUUUGGCUGAUGACUCCUACAAAAAU
This 65-nucleotide non-coding RNA is filed under the name Vibrio marisflavi. RNAcentral's name for it is "Fluoride". It matches the Rfam family "Fluoride riboswitch aptamer (crcB RNA motif)". Lineage: Bacteria; Pseudomonadati; Pseudomonadota; Gammaproteobacteria; Vibrionales; Vibrionaceae. The record is from RNAcentral.